UUGCACGGUCGUGCUGCCUCCCCUCGUCCAGCCCUCUCCCCGACCUCGCCGCCCCACACAUACCUCCGCUUGCCCAGCCCUCUCCUCGACCUCGUCGUCCCACCCACAUCGCCGCCACCGACGCCCCUUAGACCUCUCCAUCGCGGACCUCUCUCCUUGUCUUCCUCGCACCACGGCGCCCGCAACCUCCUCCCUUCCAUCAAUAGAAGGGAAGGAAAGAGAAGAGGGAGGGCGAGCGCGUCAGACGGCGGCCAUGGCGGCGCCGUCGUCCAACCUCGGCCUCAGAGUGCUGACCUCUCUCCUCGUCUUCCUCGCACCAUGGCGCCCGCAACUUCCUCUCCCUACUGUAAACAUAAGGGAAGGAAAGAGAAGGAGGGAGGGCGAGCACGUCAGACAGCGGCCAUGAUGCUUGCAGAUUCGUCGGCGCCGUCGUCUGACCUUGGCCUUCGAGUGCUUCUGCUCGGCGGGCAUGACGGUAUGGCCUGCCUGCUCCGCGCCCACACCAUGGCCUGCUCGGGACGCCGCCCCUCUGCUCCAUUUUUGGUCCUCUUCUGUUAGAGUGCUAGGUAUACGACGGCAUGGGCCAUUUACCAACACUACAAGAGCAGUUUGAUGCAGAUAGGGCAACUCCCGUCCUGGAGAAACUACGGUCGACUCCUGGUCCUCGCAGCUAUCCUUUCACCCUCCCACGUCAUCAAAGAAGCCCAUUGCACAUCCUCCUGGUACCACCACGAACAGCCACUCUUCAUUGGUAGUAGUACAUUGUAGCAGUACAUCCUGGCCAGAGGCAUGCCAAUGUUCUCGAAGUAGACUAGAAGUGGACCGGAGUACUGGAUGUUUGGACCACGGUUGCAUCCUCAACUUUUUUGAGUAAAAUUGGGGGAGGCAAUCUCUGUAUUUGGCCGGUUGCUUCAUGUCUAGUUAUGGGGGAGCAGUUCAGGUUAAUGAAGAGAUGAAAGUGGAGCGUUGGAGCUGAAGAUUGAGGAGGGUGGUUGUACAUAAAGUGGACUAGGCACGACGUGCUUCUAAUUAUUGCAGCGAGAAGAUGUCCAGAGCAUACGGGUCGCAAGGUGCCGAAAGCAUCACCAGGCAUUAAGCUGAGGCCAUUGACCUAUAAGGCUAUAACUGAUAUUAUGAGUAAUCGAAUGUUAAUUGGCUGGUAGUGGCAUGUUCAAGUAUGGAAAAUGAUGAGCUCCUACUUCUUUUUAUGCCAGCUCUAUUUAGUAGAGCAUGGGCUGCCUGGGGACGGCGCCGGUCCUAUACCACCGAGGGGGUUUCUUUUGUAGUUCUGGAUACACAAUUUUUCGUGAAGAGAUGGCUACCCCAAGGCAAUCUGAAUUAGACUUACACCUUGGACCUGCUUGGCAGCAAAAAGAUGAAC
Molecule: long non-coding RNA, 1381 nt
Organism: Triticum dicoccoides
Lineage: Eukaryota; Viridiplantae; Streptophyta; Magnoliopsida; Poales; Poaceae
Exons: 4
Source: RefSeq, a predicted model, not a curated record